RNAcentral lists this ribosomal RNA (486 nucleotides) under uncultured bacterium. RNAcentral describes it as "partial 16S ribosomal RNA". It matches the Rfam family "Bacterial small subunit ribosomal RNA", at positions 29 to 507 of the family's 1533-position model. The record is from RNAcentral.
AUUGAACGCUGGCGGCAUGCCUUACACAUGCAAGUCGAACGGCAGCACGGGUGCUUGCCCCUGGUGGCGAGUGGCGAACGGGUGAGUAAUACAUCGGAACAUGUCCUGUAGUGGGGGAUUGCCCGGCGAAAGCCGGAUUAAUACCGCAUACGAUCUACGGAUGAAAGCGGGGGACCUUCGGGCCUCGCGCUAUAGGGUUGGCCGAUGGCUGAUUAGCUCGUUGGUGGGGGAAAGGCCUACCAAGGGGACGAUCAGUAGCUGGUCUGAGAGGACGACCAGCCACACUGGAACGGAGACACGGCCCAGGCUCCUACGGGAGGCAGCAGUGGGGAAUUUUGGACAAUGGGCGAAAGCCUGAUCCAGCAGUGCCGCGUGUGUGAAGAAGGCCUUCGGGUUGUAAAGCACUUUUGUCCGGAAAGAAAUCCUUGGCCCUAAUACGGUCGGGGGAUGACGGUACCGGAAGAAUAAGCACCGGCUAACUACGUG